Molecule: ribosomal RNA, 493 nt
Filed under: uncultured bacterium
Lineage: Bacteria
Description: bacterial SSU rRNA
Rfam family: Bacterial small subunit ribosomal RNA
Source: RNAcentral
AUUGAACGCUGGCGGUAUGCUUAACACAUGCAAGUCGAACGGUAGCAGGCCUUCGGGGGUACGACGAGUGGCGGACGGGUGCGUAACGCGUAUGCAACAUGCCUUCCAGCGGGGGAUAUACCAGGGAAACUUGGCGCAAUACCCCAUAGAAUUACGGGACCGCAUGGUCUUGUGAUUAAAACUCCGGUGCUGGGAGAUUGGCAUGCGUGACAUUAGCUAGUUGGCGGGGUAACGGCCCACCAAGGCGACGAUGUCUAGCUGGUCUGAGAGGAUGAUCAGCCACACUGGGACUGAGACACGGCCCAGACUCCUACGGGAGGCAGCAGUAGGGAAUAUUGGACAAUGGGGGGAACCCUGAUCCAGCCAUGCCGCGUGAGGGAAGAAGGUCCUCUGGAUUGUAAACCUCUUUUGGCAGGAAACAAACCUGCGCUAUACGCGCAGCUGAGGGUACCUGCAGAAUAAGCACCGGCUAACUCCGUGCCAGCAGCCGCGG